Molecule: ribosomal RNA, 497 nt
Filed under: uncultured bacterium
Lineage: Bacteria
Description: partial 16S ribosomal RNA
Rfam family: Bacterial small subunit ribosomal RNA
Source: RNAcentral
GAUGAACGCUGGCGGCGUGCCUAAUACAUGCAAGUCGAGCGAACGGACGAGAAGCUUGCUUCUCUGAUGUUAGCGGCGGACGGGUGAGUAACACGUGGAUAACCUACCUAUAAGACUGGGAUAACUUCGGGAAACCGGAGCUAAUACCGGAUAAUAUUUUGAACCGCAUGGUUCAAAAGUGAAAGGCGGUCUUGCCGUCACUUAUAGAUGGAUCCGCGCUGCAUUAGCUAGUUGGUAAGGUAACGGCUUACCAAGGCAACGAUGCAUAGCCGACCUGAGAGGGUGAUCGGCCACACUGGAACUGAGACACGGUCCAGACUCCUACGGGAGGCAGCAGUAGGGAAUCUUCCGCAAUGGGCGAAAGCCUGACGGAGCAACGCCGCGUGAGUGAUGAAGGUCUUCGGAUCGUAAAACUCUGUUAUUAGGGAAGAACAUAUGUGUAAGUAACUGUGCACAUCUUGACGGUACCUAAUCAGAAAGCCACGGCUAACUACGUG